AUUGAACGCUGGCGGCAUGCCUUACACAUGCAAGUCGAACGGCAGCACGGACUUCGGUCUGGUGGCGAGUGGCGAACGGGUGAGUAAUGUAUCGGAACGUACCUUUCAGUGGGGGAUAACGUAGCGAAAGUUACGCUAAUACCGCAUAUUCUGUGAGCAGGAAAGCAGGGGAUCGCAAGACCUUGCGCUGAUUGAGCGGCCGAUAUCAGAUUAGCUAGUUGGUGAGGUAAAGGGCUCACCAAGGCGACGAUCUGUAGCGGGUCUGAGAGGAUGAUCCGCCACACUGGAACUGAGACACGGUCCAGACUCCUACGGGAGGCAGCAGUGGGGAAUUUUGGACAAUGGGGGCAACCCUGAUCCAGCCAUGCCGCGUGAGUGAAGAAGGCCUCGGUUGU
This 395-nucleotide ribosomal RNA is filed under the name uncultured bacterium. RNAcentral's name for it is "bacterial SSU rRNA". It matches the Rfam family "Bacterial small subunit ribosomal RNA", at positions 30 to 426 of the family's 1533-position model. The record is from RNAcentral.